This 301-nucleotide ribosomal RNA is filed under the name uncultured bacterium. RNAcentral's name for it is "partial 16S ribosomal RNA". It matches the Rfam family "Bacterial small subunit ribosomal RNA", at positions 509 to 807 of the family's 1533-position model. The record is from RNAcentral.
CAGUCGCCGCGGUAAUACAUAGGGUGCGAGCGUUAAUCGGAAUUACUGGGCGUAAAGCGUGCGCAGGCGGUUUUGUAAGACAGGCGUGAAAUCCCCGGGCUCAACCUGGGAAUGGCGCUUGUGACUGCAAAGCUAGAGUGCGGCAGAGGGGGAUGGAAUUCCGCGUGUAGCAGUGAAAUGCGUAGAUAUGCGGAGGGACACCGAUGGCGAAGGCAAUCCCCUGGGCCUGCACUGACGCUCAUGCACGAAAGCGUGGGGAGCAAACAGGAUUAGAGACCCCCGUAGUCCCUGUCUCUUAUAC